GGGCGGGUGGCGGAAUUGGCAUACGCGCUAGCUUAAGGAGCUAGUGGGGCAACCCAUGCAGGUUCAAGUCCUGUCCCGCCCACCA
RNAcentral lists this transfer RNA (85 nucleotides) under Patescibacteria group bacterium. Its description in RNAcentral is "tRNA-Leu". It matches the Rfam family "tRNA". From Rfam's summary of the family: Transfer RNA (tRNA) molecules are approximately 80 nucleotides in length. Their secondary structure includes four short double-helical elements and three loops (D, anti-codon, and T loops). The record is from RNAcentral.